This 254-nucleotide ribosomal RNA is filed under the name uncultured bacterium. RNAcentral describes it as "partial 16S ribosomal RNA". It matches the Rfam family "Bacterial small subunit ribosomal RNA", at positions 524 to 776 of the family's 1533-position model. The record is from RNAcentral.
UACGUAGGGUCCGAGCGUUGUCCGGAAUUACUGGGCGUAAAGAGCUCGUAGGCGGUGUGUCGCGUCGGCCGUGAAAACCUGCAGCUUAACUGUGGGCGUGCGGUCGAUACGGGCAUCACUGGAGUUCGGCAGGGGAGACUGGAAUUCCUGGUGUAGCGGUGAAAUGCGCAGAUAUCAGGAGGAACACCGGUGGCGAAGGCGGGUCUCUGGGCCGAUACUGACGCUGAGGAGCGAAAGCGUGGGGAGCAAACAGG